GGGGACGUAGCUCAGCUGGGAGAGCGCCUGCUUUGCAAGCAGGAAGUCAGGGGUUCGAAUCCCCUCGUCUCCA
This is a non-coding RNA of Thermosipho melanesiensis BI429, 73 nucleotides long. Lineage: Bacteria; Thermotogati; Thermotogota; Thermotogae; Thermotogales; Fervidobacteriaceae. The record is from Rfam.